RNAcentral lists this microRNA precursor (72 nucleotides) under Medicago truncatula (barrel medic). RNAcentral describes it as "MIR2629 microRNA precursor family". It matches the Rfam family "MIR2629 microRNA precursor family". Lineage: Eukaryota; Viridiplantae; Streptophyta; Magnoliopsida; Fabales; Fabaceae. The record is from Rfam by way of RNAcentral.
UGCCGAGAAAAACUUCGGUAGUUAACUGCAGCCGGUUUCAUGUUUCCUCGGCAGUUAACUACCGAGGGGUAU